This 438-nucleotide ribosomal RNA is filed under the name uncultured bacterium. RNAcentral's name for it is "bacterial SSU rRNA". It matches the Rfam family "Bacterial small subunit ribosomal RNA", at positions 958 to 1397 of the family's 1533-position model. The record is from RNAcentral.
AACGCGAAGAACCUUACCUGGGUUUGACAUACACCGGAAAGCCGUGGAGACACGGCCCCCGCAAGGUCGGUGUACAGGUGGUGCAUGGCUGUCGUCAGCUCGUGUCGUGAGAUGUUGGGUUAAGUCCCGCAACGAGCGCAACCCUUGUCCCAUGUUGCCAGCGGGUUAUGCCGGGGACUCAUGGGAGACUGCCGGGGUCAACUCGGAGGAAGGUGGGGACGACGUCAAGUCAUCAUGCCCCUUAUGUCCAGGGCUUCACACAUGCUACAAUGGCCGGUACAGAGGGCUGCGAAGCCGCGAGGUGGAGCGAAUCCCACAAAGCCGGUCUCAGUUCGGAUCGGGGUCUGCAACUCGACCCCGUGAAGUCGGAGUCGCUAGUAAUCGCAGAUCAGCAACGCUGCGGUGAAUACGUUCCCGGGCCUUGUACACACCGAUAGC